Molecule: ribosomal RNA, 388 nt
Filed under: uncultured Gammaproteobacteria bacterium
Lineage: Bacteria; Pseudomonadati; Pseudomonadota; Gammaproteobacteria
Description: bacterial SSU rRNA
Rfam family: Bacterial small subunit ribosomal RNA
Source: RNAcentral
GGGUGCAAGCGUUAAUCGGAAUUACUGGGCGUAAAGGGUGCGUAGGCGGUUGGUUAAGUCUGUCGUGAAAUCCCCGGGCUCAACCUGGGAAUGGCGAUGGAUACUGGCCAGCUAGAGUGUGUCAGAGGAUGGUGGAAUUUCCGGUGUAGCGGUGAAAUGCGUAGAGAUCGGAAGGAACAUCAGUGGCGAAGGCGGCCAUCUGGGACAACACUGACGCUGAAGCACGAAAGCGUGGGGAGCAAACAGGAUUAGAUACCCUGGUAGUCCACGCCCUAAACGAUGCGAACUGGAUGUUGGUCUCAACUCGGAGAUCAGUGUCGAAGCUAACGCGUUAAGUUCGCCGCCUGGGGAGUACGGUCGCAAGACUGAAACUCAAAGGAAUUGACGG